This is a long non-coding RNA of Magallana angulata, 407 nucleotides long. RefSeq lists it as uncharacterized. The record is from RefSeq and is a predicted model, not a curated record. The transcript has 3 exons. NCBI's taxonomy places the organism in Eukaryota, Metazoa, Mollusca, Bivalvia, Ostreida, Ostreidae.
GUGAAGAUGGAUAUUUUGGAUCUAACUGUGCAUUGAAGUGUCGAUAUCCUACGUUUGGAAAACAGUGUCAGUCGUUGUGCAACUGUGAUAUUCUGAACUGUGAUUAUGCCAACGGUUGUAUACAGCCUACAAAAAAAUAUAAGAACCAAUCUACAAUGCACAAAAUCUCCUUAACAAUCACAAAAAGAUCUAUUGAACUUGAUAACGUCACCAGUUAUAAAGGUUUUUCCAAUGUUACGACAGUCGCAACGAAUUUUACUUAUCCUGUUCGUGAAUCAAAACAUGAAAUGAUUAACACUAUACUGUUUGGUAUGAUCGGACUAGCAGCAGUGUCGUUUAUCAUAUAUAUGAUAUACAUUUACACUAUAUCAUUAGAAAAACGUCUUGUAUACACAGCCCCUAUUUAG